RNAcentral lists this ribosomal RNA (697 nucleotides) under uncultured organism. RNAcentral's name for it is "bacterial SSU rRNA". It matches the Rfam family "Bacterial small subunit ribosomal RNA", at positions 627 to 1337 of the family's 1533-position model. The record is from RNAcentral.
UCAAUACUGCGGAACUUGAGGGCGGCAGAGGGAGGCGGAAUUCCCGGUGUAGCGGAGACAUGCGUAGAUAUCGGGAGGAACACCAGUAGCGAAGGCGGGCUCCAUGGCUGCUCCUGACGCUGAAGGCGAAAGCUAGGGGAGCGAACGGGAUUAGAAACCCCGGUAGUCCUAGCCGUAAACGAUGGAUGCUGGGUUUGGGGGCUAUAGAUUCCCUCCGUGCCGAAGCUAACGCGUUAAGCAUCCCGCCUGGGGACUACGGCCGCAAGGCUUAAACUCAAACGAAUUGACGGGUCCCCGCACAAGCAGCGGAGCGUGUGGUUUAAUUCGAUGCUACACGAAGAACCUUACCUGGGUUUGACAUGCAAGUAGUAGUGAAGCGAAAGCGGAACGACCCUUCGGGGAGCUUGCACAGGUGCUGCAUGGCUGUCGUCAGCUCGUGCCGUGAGGUGUCGGGUUAAGUCCCGUAACGAGCGCAACCCUUGCCCUUAGUUAUACGUGUCUAAGGGGACUGCCCGGGACAACUGGGAGGAAGCUGGGGAUGACGUCAAGUCAGCAUGGCCUUUAUAUCCAGGGCGACACACACGCUACAAUGGCCGGUACAAUGGGUUGCCAAGCCGUGAGGCGGAGCCAAUCCCGCAAAGCCGGUCUAAGUUCGGAUUGUGGGCUGCAACUCGCCCACAUGAAGCUGGAGUUGCUA